UAGGAGAUGUUGGGUAUCUGGAUGC
This 25-nucleotide non-coding RNA is filed under the name Rattus norvegicus (Norway rat). Lineage: Eukaryota; Metazoa; Chordata; Mammalia; Rodentia; Muridae. The record is from RNAcentral.